RNAcentral lists this ribosomal RNA (440 nucleotides) under uncultured bacterium. RNAcentral describes it as "partial 16S ribosomal RNA". It matches the Rfam family "Bacterial small subunit ribosomal RNA", at positions 338 to 795 of the family's 1533-position model. The record is from RNAcentral.
CCUACGGGAGGCAGCAGUAGGGAAUAUUGCUCAAUGGGGGAAACCCUGAAGCAGCAACGCCGCGUGGAGGAUGAAGGUUUUCGGAUUGUAAACUCAUUUUGUUAGAGAAGAUAAUGACGGUACCUAACGAAUAAGCACCGGCUAACUCCGUGCCAGCAGCCGCGGGCAUUCGGAGGGUGCAAGCGUUACUCGGAAUCACUGGGCGUAAAGAGGGCGUAGGGGGGAUAGCAAGUUAGGUGUGAAAUCCUAGGGCUUAACCAUAGAACUGCAUUUGAAACUGUUGUUCUUGAGUAUGGGAGAGGUAGGUGGAAUGCUUGGUGUAGGGGUGAAAUCCGUAGAGAUCAAGAGGAAUACUGAUUGCGAAGGCGACCUGCUAGAACAUAACUGACGCUGAUGCGCGAAAGCGUGGGGAGCGAACAGGAUUAGAUACCCUUGUAGUC